UACAGAGGUCUCAACCGUUGUUCGGAUUCAUUGGGCGUAAAGGGUGCGUAGGCGGUCGCGCAAGUCGGAUGUGAAAUCUCGGAGCUUAACUCCGAAACUGCAUUCGAUACUGCCGUGCUUGAGGACUGGAGAGGAGACUGGAAUUUACGGUGUAGCGGUGAAAUGCGUAGAUAUCGUAAGGAAGACCAGUGGCGAAGGCGGGUCUCUGGACAGUUCCUGACGCUGAGGCACGAAGGUCAGGGGAGCAAACGGG
Molecule: ribosomal RNA, 253 nt
Filed under: uncultured bacterium
Lineage: Bacteria
Description: partial 16S ribosomal RNA
Rfam family: Bacterial small subunit ribosomal RNA
Source: RNAcentral